GGCAACUGAACUCUCUGAUGUUCUCCCCCCCCACCCAGGUGAUUCUGUCUCUGUUCCUCAGUGACUUCUAAAUUAAAUUGUCAAAACAUGUUACAGAGAGAAAUAUCUCCAGAGAGGGAAACACUUCAUCCUUUCAUCCCAACUUGGCAGCAAGGCCAGUUUGAUAUGAGAAAAUACUUGCCCAGUCUAUUAUCUGGCUCCUCUCCUUUCAUAUGCCUACUUUUCAUGACCCAUCACAAUGAAAUCCACCCUGAGUUCUUCUGAAGUUUCCAUGGACCACCCACCUCAGAGAGUUGUAACACUGAAUUUUAAGUUUGGCUCAAUUUGUUACCUCUUGUCUUUGAUUUAUCAUGCACAGAUUGCGCUCUUUUAUUUUCCCCUUGGAGAGAGGGACUGUGUGACCUUGAUCAAGUAGCUGUUCCUCCCUCUCAGCCCCAGUUUCCUGUCAAGAAGAUGUCUAAGAUCGCCUGACCUUCAAGAUUCUAUAAUCUACAUGGGUUCUUAAUUUUUAGUAGAAGAGAAGAGUUCUGCUGAAAAGAAAGAUGUUUCAGCACCUUGGAGAAGGACAUGAAAGAAGGCCGUGAUGUAGGGAGGCUGCAUCACUUCAACAAACAUUUAUUAGGGUCCUACUGUGUACAGAGAAAUGUGCCAGGUAAUAAGAAAGGGAAGAGUUUAGAUGAGACAUAGUCCUUGUCAUCAUAGGGUUUACAGUUUACCAGGGGGAUAAGACAUCAAAAAAGAAAUGAUACAUGAUAUUACAUGUGUACUUUGUAUGGAUUUGCAAAACAGUGCUAUGUUAAGUAAGGUGGGAAGAUCAUUACUAAUUGGAGUAUCAGGGAAGGGAUUCAUGGAUGAAAUAGUUUUGAUUGGCUUUUAAAGGAUGAGGUAGGAAUUCAGCAGGCAAAGUAGGGGGAAGAAGGACAUUCCAGACAUAGGGAACAGUUUGACAAGAGACCUAGAGACAAUAGAGUGGAAUGCAUGUAGACGGGACAGAAAGUUGUUCUGUUUGUCUGAAGCAUAGAGUGCAUGGAAGGGAUUUAUGAGCUAUGAGACUGUAUAUGGUAGGUUGAUGCCACAUUGUGGAGGACCCUGGAUACAAAGUAAAUAAGUUUGAACUUUACUUGAUGGAUG
Molecule: long non-coding RNA, 1131 nt
Filed under: Phascolarctos cinereus (koala)
Lineage: Eukaryota; Metazoa; Chordata; Mammalia; Diprotodontia; Phascolarctidae
Description: lncRNA (ENSPCIG00000004897.2)
Source: RNAcentral